Non-coding RNA from Paramuricea clavata, 496 nucleotides. Lineage: Eukaryota; Metazoa; Cnidaria; Anthozoa; Malacalcyonacea; Plexauridae. The record is from the annotation of a GenBank genome assembly.
GUGAAAAGCAAUUGUAUGAAGAUAUUUUUGAACAAAUAUUCUGGAACUCUGAUAGGAAUUUUACUUUUGGUACCAAUUAACCACCAGGUUUGCGCCUGAUCCCUUCGUUUACAUGCAGUCGUGGUAAUGCAGCUUAGUCUCAUUAUGUAAUAGUUGGCAGCCGACUGUAUAGAAGAAUGUUUAUAUCUCAUACACAUGCAUACAAAAAAUUUACCUUAGUUUGACGAUCCAGGAAAAGUAGGAAAAGCAAUUAGGAUGAUGUUGUGUAACAGUGCAGCAAAUUUAAAUCUCAACUGUAUAUUGGGUUCUUUCCAAAUGGUAAUAGUAUUUUAUGAGCUGAAACGUUUGUAUAUUGCUGUGUCAACUAAUCUUUAUGUGUUAUAUUGCGUGACCACUUGACAAAAAUAGUUUUAUAUUUAGAUAAUAGAGAAUUAUUUAGCAAAUUAUCCUAUGUGUGGAAUGUAUUCUUUAUUAACAAUGGCAACCAGAAAUCAUA